GGCCUUUUUGGUUGCAUUAUUUAGUACCAUAUGAGCAGCAGCACCAACUGGUUCCCCAUCACUGUCUGUAGCACUUUAUGCAUACUCCUACAGACUUCUGAUCUUUAUUUUGUCGAAAUGCCACACUGAUGAAAAAACUUUCCCAAAAAAAAUUAAAUCCAUACUGUUGCCAUAAAAAAAAGAAGAUAAAAAAAAAAUAAAUCAAAACUAUACCUAUGGGAAUUGCAGCUUUCAUGAAGAAGUUUAUGUUGAUUUUCUUGAAACAACAAGAAGCAAGUUUAUUAUCUGAAUUCCAGAGGGCCUUGUACAUGUUGUGUUGUUUACAACAGAGGCAUUUUUGUGUUGCAAAGUUAUAUUGGAGGAUUUUAUUUAUUUAUUUUUGGUGCCGCUCAUUGGCGAAAAUAUCUUUUCUAUUUUCAGCAACUCAGAAGCCUUUAGACUGCUCAUUCUCAGUGGCGAGGAGUUCUUAUUGCUUACUCCAAGUUUUUGUUGUUUUAGCAGUUUCAGGGGAUUUUUCUUUUUUCAUUUGUUUUUGAAGAACAAAUACUCCCGCUUCUAUUAAUUUUCAGUGGAGUCUUUGAAACUUGGGUUGUAAUUUCCAAAGCUUUAAUCCUUGGAAAUAAGUUUUAGGCAUGGAUGAAUGGGAGCUAUAAUCGAUUGAUUUUAUUUAUUUAUUUAUUUUUUUGAAACUAUUCGAUUUAUUAUUGUAAAUAUUAUUCGCGGCAGUUUGAUGCAUGUGAAAGGGCUACAUAGGCAUGUAUUUUUAUUUUUUUAUAGGAAAACAAUCACUAGGCAUAAUCAACUUCCUAAGAGGAAUGUGAAAUCAAGUGGGUCUUGACCAAAAGUCAGGUGGGCCUUGACCAAAAGGGUCAAUGAUAAGGUCCAUCAUUUUAUGAGUUGGAGAGGUAGAACUCAUAAAAUGGGACUCAUUGUGAGUCGGGCAUCUAUUUU
Molecule: long non-coding RNA, 951 nt
Organism: Magnolia sinica
Lineage: Eukaryota; Viridiplantae; Streptophyta; Magnoliopsida; Magnoliales; Magnoliaceae
Exons: 2
Source: RefSeq, a predicted model, not a curated record